GAAUUUUCCUCUUUUUUCAAACUUGAGAAGCAAAAGUGCCAUAACAAUGGUGAAACGAUUCAGAGGAAGAAUGUCAGCUUUUGACAAGUCAACUUUUAUCUCACUUGAAGUGACUGGAAGAAAUCAGCAGAUGAAAGGAAAAUUGAUGAUUGAUGAGGCCUUCGGCACAAAAAGUCGUAUCUAGGUGACACAGAAGACUGAAGAGGUAUACAGAAGGAGAAAUGUUUCUCCCCCAGAUGCUGUCAUGCCUGAGAAGUAGUCAUGUUAAGAGGAUGACAACGUACUUUGGAGGACUAACAAUUGUUCAGGGCAAGACUACGGACAAAGAAAAUACAAAUUUAAAAGGCAGAGAGAAUGAAAGAAGGUAUAUGACAAAGUUUCACUCUUGUUGCCCAGGCUGGACUACAAUGGCGUGA
RNAcentral lists this long non-coding RNA (416 nucleotides) under Papio anubis (olive baboon). RNAcentral's name for it is "lncRNA (ENSPANG00000037978.1)". Lineage: Eukaryota; Metazoa; Chordata; Mammalia; Primates; Cercopithecidae. The record is from RNAcentral.